UGCGCAGGCGGAAUAAUAAGUCAGUGGUGAAAUCCCCCGGCUCAACCGGGGAACUGCCAUUGAUACUGUUAUUCUAGAGUACAGUUGGGGUAGGCGGAAUGUGUCAUGUAGCGGUGAAAUGCUUAGAUAUGACACAGAACACCGAUCGCGAAGGCAGCUUACCAAGCUGAAACUGACGCUGAGGCACGAAAGCGUGGGGAGCAAACAGGAUUAGAUACCCUGGUAGUCC
RNAcentral lists this ribosomal RNA (229 nucleotides) under uncultured bacterium. RNAcentral describes it as "partial 16S ribosomal RNA". It matches the Rfam family "Bacterial small subunit ribosomal RNA", at positions 568 to 796 of the family's 1533-position model. The record is from RNAcentral.